AUCGAAUAGAGGUCAAAACAUGUAAACAUUGGACCGAUACAGAGGUGAUUAGCAUGGCCCCUGUAGAGGGAUGCACACCAAUUGAGAAAUGGUCCAAAUUUUU
This is a small nuclear RNA of Cucurbita pepo subsp. pepo (vegetable marrow), 103 nucleotides long. NCBI's taxonomy places the organism in Eukaryota, Viridiplantae, Streptophyta, Magnoliopsida, Cucurbitales, Cucurbitaceae. The record is from RefSeq and is a predicted model, not a curated record.